RNAcentral lists this ribosomal RNA (427 nucleotides) under uncultured bacterium. RNAcentral's name for it is "partial 16S ribosomal RNA". It matches the Rfam family "Bacterial small subunit ribosomal RNA", at positions 355 to 774 of the family's 1533-position model. The record is from RNAcentral.
UGGGGAAUAUUGGACAAUGGGCGAAAGCCUGAUCCAGCCAUGCCGCGUGUGUGAAGAAGGUCUUCGGAUUGUAAAGCACUUUAAGUUGGGAGGAAGGGCAUUAACCUAAUACGUUAGUGUUUUGACGUUACCGACAGAAUAAGCACCGGCUAACUCUGUGCCAGCAGCCGCGGUAAUACAGAGGGUGCAAGCGUUAAUCGGAAUUACUGGGCGUAAAGCGAGCGUAGGUGGUUUGUUAAGUUGGAUGUGAAAUCCCCGGGCUCAACCUGGGAACUGCAUUCAAAACUGACUGACUAGAGUAUGGUAGAGGGUGGUGGAAUUUCCUGUGUAGCGGUGAAAUGCGUAGAUAUAGGAAGGAACACCAGUGGCGAAGGCGACCACCUGGACUAAUACUGACACUGAGGUGCGAAAGCGUGGGGAGCAAACA